This 72-nucleotide transfer RNA is filed under the name Buchnera aphidicola (Schizaphis graminum). RNAcentral describes it as "tRNA-Ala". It matches the Rfam family "tRNA". Rfam says of the family: Transfer RNA (tRNA) molecules are approximately 80 nucleotides in length. Lineage: Bacteria; Pseudomonadati; Pseudomonadota; Gammaproteobacteria; Enterobacterales; Erwiniaceae. RNAcentral also lists the same sequence under 1 other name. The record is from RNAcentral.
GGGGCUAUAGCUCAGAGGCAGAGUUCUUGCAUGGCAUGCAAGAUGUCGGCGGUUCGAUUCCGCCUAGCUCCA